Molecule: ribosomal RNA, 441 nt
Filed under: uncultured bacterium
Lineage: Bacteria
Description: partial 16S ribosomal RNA
Rfam family: Bacterial small subunit ribosomal RNA
Source: RNAcentral
CUACGGGGGGCUCCAGUCGAGAAUAUUCGACAAUGGGCGAAAGCCUGAUCGAGCGACGCCGCGUGCAGGAAGAAGUGCUUCGUUAUGUAAACUGCUUUUGUAGACUAGUAAGUUUUGAACAGUCUAAGAAUAAGAGGUUGCUAAACUCGUGCCAGCAGCAGCGGUAAUACGAGUGCCUCAAGCGUUAUCCGGAAUUAUUGGGCGUAAAGGGUGUGUAGGUGGUUUUGUUAGUCUCCUGUUAAAUCUCUCGGCUUAACCGAGAACUCGCAGGAGAAACGGCAAGACUUUAGAGUGUGCGAGGGGUCUGUGGAACUCAUAGUGUAGCGGUGAAAUGCGUUGAUAUUAUGGGGAACACCAAAAGCGAAGGCAGCAGACUGGAGCAUUACUGACACUGAAACACGAAAGCGUGGGUAGCGAAUGGGAUUAGAUACCCGAGUAGUC